GCCCCUGUAGCGCUAUGAAUAGCGCGUUGGACUUCUAAUCCAAAGGUCGUGGGUUCGAAUUCCACCUGGGAUG
This 73-nucleotide transfer RNA is filed under the name Trichonephila inaurata madagascariensis. It matches the Rfam family "tRNA". Rfam says of the family: Transfer RNA (tRNA) molecules are approximately 80 nucleotides in length. Their secondary structure includes four short double-helical elements and three loops (D, anti-codon, and T loops). The record is from Rfam by way of RNAcentral. Lineage: Eukaryota; Metazoa; Arthropoda; Arachnida; Araneae; Nephilidae.